GCUGAUGCGUUGUUGGGUAGGGGAGCGUUCUGUAAGCCUGCGAAGGUGUGCUGUGAGGCAUGCUGGAGGUAUCAGAAGUGCGAAUGCUGACAUAAGUAACGAUAAAGCGGGUGAAAAGCCCGCUCGCCGGAAGACCAAGGGUUCCUGUCCAACGUUAAUCGGGGCAGGGUGAGUCGACCCCUAAGGCGAGGCCGAAAGGCGUAGUCGAUGGGAAACAGGUUAAUAUUCCUGUACUUGGUGUUACUGCGAAGGGGGGACGGAGAAGGCUAUGUUGGCCGGGCGACGGUUGUCCCGGUUUAAGCGUGUAGGCUGGUUUUCCAGGCAAAUCCGGAAAAUCAAGGCUGAGGCGUGAUGACGAGGCACUACGGUGCUGAAGCAACAAAUGCCCUGCUUCCAGGAAAAGCCUCUAAGCAUCAGGUAACAUCAAAUCGUACCCCAAACCGACACAGGUGGUCAGGUAGAGAAUACCAAGGCGCUUGAGAGAACUCGGGUGAAGGAACUAGGCAAAAUGGUGCCGUAACUUCGGGAGAA
RNAcentral lists this ribosomal RNA (531 nucleotides) under Escherichia coli. RNAcentral's name for it is "partial 23S ribosomal RNA". It matches the Rfam family "Bacterial large subunit ribosomal RNA", at positions 1213 to 1744 of the family's 2925-position model. Lineage: Bacteria; Pseudomonadati; Pseudomonadota; Gammaproteobacteria; Enterobacterales; Enterobacteriaceae. The record is from RNAcentral.